UUCUAUCCGAGUUCCGAGGUCUAUUUUGCAUCAUUGCUGUUCUAAAUUGUUGUUACCUUCCAAAGCCAAUUUCCUUGGUUAUUCACCAUCUAAGCCUUGUUCAACCAUCUGGAGUUUUGGAUAAAUGAGUCCUGCUGCCAACUUAUUCUAUCUAGGGCAUAUACUUUAGUAUGUUACUUCAAUUACUUUUAAAAAUGGUGUGCGAGUUAUUAAUCCUUACGAUGCUUAAGCGAGCUUUGCUUCUCAGACAUGUGAAGAUAUCAUUAAAGAAAUGUGACUUGACUUUGGUCGUUAUAAGUAUAUUGUCCUAGUUCUCAAAAUCCUUUUCUUUGUUAUAGCGCAUGAAGAAAAACAGAGAUCCGAGAUGGGAAGAAGAGUUUACAUUUACACUGCCGGAACCACCAAUUAAUGAUAAAUUACAUGUGGAAGUAAUCACCAGAUCAUCAAGAAAUUUACUUCAUCCUAAGGAACUCUUGGCUAUGUUGACAUUAGCCUUGGAGAUGUUGUCAGCAGCAGACGGAUCAAUGAGAAAUAUCACCUCAUUGAUUCCAGGAAUGGAAAAAUCCAAAUUGAAUUGCAAUGGAGAACAUCUUGAAGAUACUACUACUCCCUUUGACCCAGACCUUGUUGAGUUUGGUGAUGUGUAGACUUGGAAGAUUUUUUUUUUUAGACUAUAUUGUAAUUGUUUGUGAAUAUGAGCAGAAAUAAUAUCAAAAUGGGAUCACCGUACAUAUCGGGUUCCCUCCUAGGCUCC
Macadamia integrifolia is the source of this 754-nucleotide long non-coding RNA. RefSeq lists it as uncharacterized. The transcript has 2 exons. NCBI's taxonomy places the organism in Eukaryota, Viridiplantae, Streptophyta, Magnoliopsida, Proteales, Proteaceae. The record is from RefSeq and is a predicted model, not a curated record.